This 418-nucleotide long non-coding RNA is filed under the name Manduca sexta (tobacco hornworm). RNAcentral's name for it is "uncharacterized LOC119191038". Lineage: Eukaryota; Metazoa; Arthropoda; Insecta; Lepidoptera; Sphingidae. The record is from RNAcentral.
UUUUUUUUUUGGAGGGUAGCUGAUACACGAGUCAGUGGGAUUCUGUAUUUAAACCUUUUAAAAAAAUCAGGAAAUCUCUAUAUUACUAUAAUUCCUAUUGAAUUGUGUUUUGUAUAUUCUUAGUGGUGUCGAUCACUAACAUUUGGGGAAAACAUCAAUUCAAUACGCUACGAGGGGAAAAAAAGAGAGUCAACUGUCACUCAAAAACUGUCUUAACGUAGUGGUUAUAUUCUCUAUGGAACUGUCAAAUCCCCUUCGUUUAUCUUCUCCCAUUAACAAAAGUCUUCAUCAUAAAGACAUUCAACUUUAAUACCCAGAUUAAUACCUCAGUAAUCUGCAGUCUGAAACAACGUGACAUUGGCGGAAUAGCUUCAUAAUCAAGCUCGUCGCCAGUAAUCAAAGAAGAAGAAGAAGAAGA